UACGGGGGGAGCAAGCGUUGUUCGGAUUUACUGGGCGUAAAGGGCGCGUAGGCGGUCAGCACAAGUCAGUUGUGAAAUCUCCGGGCUUAACUCGGAAAGGUCAACUGAUACUGUGCGACUAGAGUGCGGAAGGGGCAACUGGAAUUCUCGGUGUAGCGGUGAAAUGCGUAGAUAUCGAGAGGAACACCAGUGGCGAAGGCGACUUUCUGGACUGUUACUGACACUGAGGCUCGAAAGCUAGGGGAGCGAACGGG
RNAcentral lists this ribosomal RNA (254 nucleotides) under uncultured bacterium. RNAcentral's name for it is "partial 16S ribosomal RNA". It matches the Rfam family "Bacterial small subunit ribosomal RNA", at positions 524 to 776 of the family's 1533-position model. The record is from RNAcentral.